This 253-nucleotide ribosomal RNA is filed under the name uncultured bacterium. RNAcentral describes it as "partial 16S ribosomal RNA". It matches the Rfam family "Bacterial small subunit ribosomal RNA", at positions 524 to 776 of the family's 1533-position model. The record is from RNAcentral.
UACAGAGGGGGCAAGCGUUAUUCGGAAUUAUUGGGCGUAAAGGGCGCGUAGGCGGCCAUUCAAGUGACGGGUGAAAGCCCUCGGCUUAACCGAGGAACUGCCUGUCAGACUGGAUGGCUUGAGACCGGGAGAGGUGAGUGGAAUUCCCAGUGUAGCGGUGAAAUUCGUAGAUAUCGGGAGGAACACCAGCGGCGAAGGCGGCGACCUGGGUGGAUACUGACGCUGAGGUGCGAAAGCGUGGGGAGCAAACAGG